GACGAACGCUGGCGGCGUGCCUAAUACAUGCAAGUCGAACGAGAGCGACCGGUGCUUGCACUGGUCAAUCUAGUGGCGCACGGGUGAGUAACACGUGGGUAACCUGCCCAUCAGAGGGGGAUAACAUUCGGAAACGGAUGCUAAAACCGCAUAGGUCUUCGAACCGCAUGGUUUGAAGAGGAAAAGAGGCGCAAGCUUCUGCUGAUGGAUGGACCCGCGGUGCAUUAGCUAGUUGGUGAGGUAACAGCUCACCAAGGCCGUGAUGCAUAGCCGACCUGAGAGGGUGAUCGGCCACAUUGGGACUGAGACACGGCCCAAACUCCUACGGGAGGCAGCAGUAGGGAAUCUUCCGCAAUGGACGCAAGUCUGACGGAGCAACGCCGCGUGAGUGAAGAAGGUUUUCGGAUCGUAAAACUCUGUUGUUAGAGAAGAAUAAGUGCUAGAGUAACUGUUAGCGCCUUGACGGUAUCGAACCAGAAAGCCACGGCUAACUACGUG
This 498-nucleotide ribosomal RNA is filed under the name uncultured bacterium. Its description in RNAcentral is "partial 16S ribosomal RNA". It matches the Rfam family "Bacterial small subunit ribosomal RNA", at positions 28 to 507 of the family's 1533-position model. The record is from RNAcentral.